This 368-nucleotide ribosomal RNA is filed under the name uncultured organism. RNAcentral's name for it is "bacterial SSU rRNA". It matches the Rfam family "Bacterial small subunit ribosomal RNA", at positions 526 to 896 of the family's 1533-position model. The record is from RNAcentral.
CGGAGGGUGCAAGCGUUGUCCGGAUUUAUUGGGUUUAAAGGGUGCGUAGGCGGCCCUGUAAGUCAGUGGUGAAAUACUGCAGCUUAACUGUAGCAUUGCCAUUGAUACUGUAGGGCUUGAGUACAGAUGAGGUAGGCGGAAUUGAUGGUGUAGCGGUGAAAUGCAUAGAUACCAUCAAGAACACCGAUUGCGAAGGCAGCUUACUAAGCUGUAACUGACGCUGAGGCACGAAAGCGUGGGGAUCGAACAGGAUUAGAUACCCUGGUAGUCCACGCUGUAAACGAUGAUUACUCGAUGUUCGCGAUAUACAGUGAGCGUCCAAGCGAAAGCGUUAAGUAAUCCACCUGGGGAGUACGCUCGCAAGAGUG